RNAcentral lists this long non-coding RNA (1402 nucleotides) under Mus pahari (shrew mouse). RNAcentral describes it as "RIKEN cDNA 4930519A11 gene (MGP_PahariEiJ_G0006303.1)". Lineage: Eukaryota; Metazoa; Chordata; Mammalia; Rodentia; Muridae. The record is from RNAcentral.
AUUCAAACCAUCAACCUUGGAGAUAAGAGACUAUUGUUGGGUUCCUGUCAAAAGAUAGGUGGCUUGGCUCAGGCAGCAGCUGGGGGGAGACUUAAAACAGCCUUGAGAACAAUUCUGAGCAGCACAGUUUCAAGGAGACACCCAGUCAUUUUAUGAGGCAAGAUGACCCAGGAAGGAGAGGUGGGUUCUAUAGCUGUGUGGUCUUGGGAAAGUGCUCUGGGAAGAUAUGUAUCCUAGAGGCCUGCUGGAUUCCUUUAGUGGAAAAUAGGAAGACUUACCAGUUGACCUGGUGCUACUGUCUACACCAACCUCCAGUUCGGAAAAAGCAAAUUCUCAGAAGAUUCUCAGGAAGUGAUGUUCAACCCAUGACAAUGACCGCUGUGUAGUUCAGGGGCCCAGAGCUGAGGUUAGGAAGUGAGGAUGUAAGAACCUGAACAUAUUUCUAGGCAUAGAGUUUUAAAGGAGAAUACAGAGAGGAAGCAAGAGGAAUAGGGCACGCUGUGGGAACAAGGAAAGGCUUGAAAAGGGAAAGGAAGCCUGGGUGGAAAGGGAAGCCUAUGGCCCUGAAUCGGGAAAACUGAUUCGGGAUUAGCAGGUUCAAGCAUCCCCACAUCGGACGGGCACAGCAUGACCCAUCUUCACACUCCCAGCACCUACUCCCGGGGGCAUCAUGACAGAUGGACAGCAGUAGACACUAAAAGCACAGUAGGCUGGUGCCAGGUCUUUCCCCAACGUCCGCAUCCCCUCCCCUUUCAGGAUCCCUUCUAGAAGCCUCUCAAGCUCCAGGAAGCCAUCUGCACUGGCUCAGACGAGGCAGGGAAGGAAUUAAAAACGUGAGAGGCAAGAUCAGAGAGAGACUUGCUCCCCCUCAAGAACCGCUUUAGUAGAGGAAAAAAGCCAGGCAAUUUUUAAUCAUCACGGAUUGUUUAAACUUCUGAAUCCAUCUUCUCCGAAGCAUAGGGAGCACCCAUUGUGGCUGGUACCCAGAAGCAGUCCGAGUUUAGCCCUUGGUCCACCUACCCCCAACAGUCACACACAUUUCCUGGACCCUUCAGUAGGUCCUCCCAGGGUCCUUGCAAGGCCAGGCCAGCAGGACCCUGCUUAUCUAAGGAGAUCUGACAAGACUGCAGCCCUGGGGGUAUGGCUGCUGGCGAAACAUAUGGUACAUCGUAAAUAGGACUUCCUUUUAGGAAAUGAGCUGCUGUAAUUAAAUCCCCAUUCAUUUUUCUGUAACAUACACAGAGAGACAAAUAGAUCUUUAUCCUUUGGAAGCUCCGAAGAGAAAAGGCUUGUGGGGAGCUGAGGAUUCUCAACUGUGACUUUUAUAAAAGAUUGCUUAGAUCCAGGUGAAACAAGAAGUCCAAAUUCCCUUUUUUGGAGGGGGGUUGGGGUGGAGUCCUCU